RNAcentral lists this ribosomal RNA (714 nucleotides) under fungal endophyte. RNAcentral's name for it is "eukaryotic LSU rRNA". The stretch from base 193 to 346 matches the Rfam family "5.8S ribosomal RNA". Lineage: Eukaryota; Fungi. The record is from RNAcentral.
GGAUCAUUACAAAACAGAGUAUUCGUACUCUUCAACCCUUUGUGAACUAUACCAAUCGUCAGUUGCUUCGGCGGGGGGCCCCUGGGAGGGGCACCGGGGCCCGGGCCUGAGCCCGGGGUCCCGCCGGAGGAGCGCAACCUAAACUCUUGCUGUAUCAGUGGUAAUUCCGAGUCAAAACAAAAAACAAGUUAAAACUUUCAACAACGGAUCUCUUGGUUCUGGCAUCGAUGAAGAACGCAGCGAAAUGCGAUAAGUAAUGUGAAUUGCAGAAUUCAGUGAAUCAUCGAAUCUUUGAACGCACAUUGCGCCCGCCAGUAUUCUGGCGGGCAUGCCUGUUCGAGCGUCAUUGGAACACUCAGGCCUUAGGGUCUGGCUUCGGGGCGGUUCCCGCGAGGGAAGCCCUCAGAUACAUAGGCGGACCUCUUGGGCUCCGAGCGCAGUAGUAAAAUUCUCGCUCCGGAGCUUACUGUAGGGAGUGGCCGGCCCGCUUCUGACCUGGAAGCGGUGACCCUGGGGUGCAAGCAUACUCGGAUUUGCACGUUUAUUUGACCUCGGAUCAGGUAGGAAUACCCGCUGAACUUAAGCAUAUCAAUAAGCGGAGGAAAAGAAACCAACAGGGAUUGCCCCAGUAACGGCGAGUGAAGCGGCAACAGCUCAGAUUUGAAAUCUGGCCCCCAGGGCCCGAGUUGUAAUCUGUAGAGGAUGCUUCUGGCA